GACGGAGGAUGCAAGCGUUAUCCGGAAUGAUUGGGCGUAAAGCGUCCGCAGGUGGCAGUUCAAGUCUGCUGUCAAAGACCGGGGCUUAACUUCGGAAAGGCAGUGGAAACUGAACAGCUAGAGUAUGGUAGGGGCAGAGGGAAUUCCUGGUGUAGCGGUGAAAUGCGUAGAGAUCUGGAAGAACAUCGGUGGCGAAGGCGCUCUGCUGGACCAUAACUGACACUCAGGGACGAAAGCUAGGGGAGCGAAUGGG
RNAcentral lists this ribosomal RNA (253 nucleotides) under uncultured bacterium. Its description in RNAcentral is "partial 16S ribosomal RNA". It matches the Rfam family "Bacterial small subunit ribosomal RNA", at positions 524 to 776 of the family's 1533-position model. The record is from RNAcentral.